Molecule: ribosomal RNA, 253 nt
Filed under: uncultured bacterium
Lineage: Bacteria
Description: partial 16S ribosomal RNA
Rfam family: Bacterial small subunit ribosomal RNA
Source: RNAcentral
UACGAAGGGGGCUAGCGUUGCUCGGAAUCACUGGGCGUAAAGCGCACGUAGGCGGACUCUUAAGUCAGGGGUGAAAUCCUGGAGCUCAACUCCAGAACUGCCUUUGAUACUGGGAGUCUUGAGUUCGGGAGAGGUGAGUGGAACUGCGAGUGUAGAGGUGAAAUUCGUAGAUAUUCGCAAGAACACCAGUGGCGAAGGCGGCUCACUAGCCCGAUACUGACGCUGAGGUGCGAAAGCGUGGGGAGCAAACAGG